AACGAACGCUGGCGGCGCGCCUAAUACAUGCAAGUCGAGCGAGAAGACGUAGCAAUACGUUUGUAAAGCGGCGAACGGGUGAGGAAUACAUGGGUAACCUACCCUCGAGUGGGAGUAACUAGCCGAAGGUUAAGCUAAUACGCGUACGCUCCUUGGACUUCGGUUCAGGAGGAAAGCGGAUACCGUGGGUAUCGCGCUCUUGGAUGGGCGUCAUGUCCUA
This 220-nucleotide ribosomal RNA is filed under the name uncultured bacterium. Its description in RNAcentral is "partial 16S ribosomal RNA". It matches the Rfam family "Bacterial small subunit ribosomal RNA", at positions 29 to 240 of the family's 1533-position model. The record is from RNAcentral.